Long non-coding RNA from Physella acuta, 337 nucleotides. RefSeq lists it as uncharacterized. NCBI's taxonomy places the organism in Eukaryota, Metazoa, Mollusca, Gastropoda, Physidae. The record is from RefSeq and is a predicted model, not a curated record.
UGACAACAGAGACUGGGGAAACUACGAAGCUUACAAUCAGUUUUUGAACAAGCUGCACCAAGACAGGCAAACACCAUCCCCUGGGCCAGCACGGAAUCCAAACCAUGUUGAUGUUGUCCACAUGGCCGUCCCGCGACCUGUCCCACAACAAAGGCCACAGUUCAACAUGGGCCCACUGGGUAUCCCAGCAGUAGUGGACCAGGCAGGUCGAGACAGGUAUAGCUACAAUAUGCAGCUUGGUGCCCAGGCAGCAGAGAGAGCUCGUGUGGUGGAGGAUUACAUGCAGAGGCAGAGGAUGGCAGCCAUGAAUAAAAUGAGGGCACAGAUUGACCUUUAU